CUCUCCCUCUCUCUCUCUUGCUCUCUCUCUCCCUCUCUCUCUCUCUUCUAUCCGUCUGCUCCCUGCUCUCUCAUUCGCUCCACCGGCUCGUCGCCGGCUGUUAGUUCAUUUGCCGCGGCAGAGCAACAACUGGCUUCUUUCAGAGCUGGGAGCAAAGAGGGGAAGGCGAGAGCGACGGUAAGAGUGGAAGAAGAAAAAGUGGAGGAGGACAAGAAGGAGAAGAAUAGGAGAAAAGGAGGAGGAGGAGGAGAUCUUUUGUUAGGCAUCCAUCCCUCCCCUCAUCCCUCACUGGAAGCAGCAGCAUCAGCACCACUGCCUCCACCACCGCCGCUCCUGCUGCUGGAUCCUCCGUCUCCUGCCGGGAUCUGCCUCCUCCUUCUCCUCAGGGAGCUCCUCCUGAAACUCGGAGGGGGAGGGAGAUCACCACCUCCCAGCUUGCCGUGGACCCUCAGCAAGGAUCAGGAGGAAAGAAGGAAGAAGGAAGGGGGGGAAUUUUAGAAGAGGCCAUCAGGAGAGCAGAGGAGAGGCAACACCCUGGUUUACAGGAGAGCAAAGAAGAAGAAGAAGAAGAAAAAAAGAGGAAGCAGUGGAGAGAGCAAGGAAACCAAAUCUCAUCACGGCAUGAGGACCUCCAGAGGGCCCCAGUACAGAGGAGCCAUUGAUGGAGCCUUGCCUCACGCUGCAGCGAGGCGUCUUCAAUCAAUGUGGCUGCCCCACUCUCUCUAUAUGUGUAUGUGUCUGUUUGCUACUGGAGCCUGAAGGGGGGCUGCUGAUGGCUGCGGCGAUGGCCAUGGUGGUGGUGGUGGUGGUGGUGGUGGUGGUGAUGAUGAUGCGAUGGCAGUGGUGCUGCUCACGUGGUUUCUGGCUUAGCUCCCCGUGUUUACUGAAAGACUCUCUUCGGUGACGGGUAUUCUUGGGUGGAUAAUACGGAUCACGUUGUUAUUGCUUAAGAAUACGCGUAGUCGAGGAGAGUCCUCUCUUCGCCCAACACCAGCAACACCCCCAAUCCCCCGACACCCACCCACCCACCUCACCCCACUCCAACUACCCACCCACCCAUGGAGGACUGUCAGGAUGGGUGAAGCCACACCCCCACUCGUCACCUUUUCAAAGAGAAUAUCCCACUUCCUCUUUGAUCUGUACUGCACUGCAAUGUUUUUCUUCCCUGCCCACUUCCUGUCAGCUGAGCCACAGUUCAAGGUUGAGAGCGUCCUAACGUCUGUCCCACCGUGCAUCUGUUAGUCUGCCUCUGUCUCGAUGGACAGUGUAGUAUGUGUGUUUUGUUUCUCUGUGUGUGUUUGUCAGACUUGUUGUUGAGAGACUGUUUUGUCUCACAGAGAAAAUCUGGCUCUUUGUCACGUCUCACAACAAUUUCUGAUCUUGUAAUUCUAUCUGCUUGAAAAACACAUGGCCAGCAUGACAGCCUGCACACUAACACAGACACGUCUUAUACCAUUAAGUGUCACCAUAUUUGGAGCAGCAUUUGUGGCCUUGUGGCUGUGACACCAUUGUGUUUUUUAACUGGCCCCAGGGCAAUAAUGGGCAGUUAACCCCUCGUUCCACUACCUUGACCAGGGUGUGUUGGCCGACAAUUAGAUUAAUCACAAAUAAUUUCAAAACAUGGAACAUGAAAAUACAAAAGUGACAUAUUCAGAGUCUACAAACAAUAUUUUGAACCGGACCGCCAGGAUUAGGAAAUAAAGCUGGAGCAACCUUCAGGCCCUUAUCAUGUCUGUUGAUAUUGUAUUUUAAGUGCAUGGUUUAAAACCUAUUUUCAAGUAAAUCAGCACAAACCAGUACAAACUCACUCACUGAGCUCAGAGCUGUUGUGGGUCCUGGAGCUCUGCGGCCCGAACGCAGUUGCCUGCUUUGUGGUCAAUAAUCCAGCUUUGCAGACUAGGUUCAUCUGCAGGCAUAUGUAUAUGUAUA
Molecule: long non-coding RNA, 1929 nt
Organism: Acanthopagrus latus (yellowfin seabream)
Lineage: Eukaryota; Metazoa; Chordata; Actinopteri; Spariformes; Sparidae
Exons: 3
Source: RefSeq, a predicted model, not a curated record